This 305-nucleotide unclassified non-coding RNA is filed under the name plant metagenome. Its description in RNAcentral is "partial contains 5.8S ribosomal RNA, internal transcribed spacer 2, and large subunit ribosomal RNA". The stretch from base 1 to 105 matches the Rfam family "5.8S ribosomal RNA", at positions 50 to 154 of the family's 154-position model. The record is from RNAcentral.
GAGAUGCGAUAAGUAAUGUGAAUUGCAGAAUUCAGUGAAUCAUCGAAUCUUUGAACGCACAUUGCGCCCGCCAGUAUUCUGGCGGGCAUGCCUGUUCGAGCGUCAUUUCAACCAUCAAGCCCCCGGCUUGUGUUGGGGACCUGCGGCUGCCCGCAGGCCCUGAAAAACAGUGGCGGGCUCGCUGUCACACCGAGCGUAGUAGCAUACAUUCUCGCUCAGGGCGUGCUGCGGGUUCCGGCCGUUAAACGACCUUCAUAACCCAAGGUUGACCUCGGAUCAGGUAGGAAGACCCGCUGAACUUAAGC